GAUGAACGCUUGCGGCGUGCCUAAUACAUGCAAGUCGAACGAGUUCUCGUUGAUGAUCGGUGCUUGCACCGAGAUUCAACAUAGAACGAGUGGCGGACGGGUGAGUAACACGUGGGUAACCUGCCCUUAAGUGGGGGAUAACAUUUGGAAACAGAUGCUAAUACCGCAUAGAUCCAAGAACCGCAUGGUUCUUGGCUGAAAGAUGGCGUAAGCUAUCGCUUUUGGAUGGACCCGUGGCGUAUUAGCUAGUUGGUGAGGUAAUGGCUCACCAAGGCGAUGAUACGUAGCCGAACUGAGAGGUUGAUCGGCCACAUUGGGACUGAGACACGGCCCAAACUCCUUCGGGAGGCAGCAGUAGGGAAUCUUCCACAAUGGACGCAAGUCUGAUGGAGCAACGCCGCGUGAGUGAAGAAGGCUUUCGGGUCGUAAAACUCUGUUGUUGGGGAAGAAUGGUCGGCAGAGUAACUGUUGUCGGCGUGACGGUAUCCAACCAGAAAGCCACGGCUAACUACGUGCCAGCAGCCGCGGUAAUACGUAGGUGGCAAGCGUUAUCCGGAUUUAUUGGGCGUAAAGCGAGCGCAGGCGGUUUUUUAAGUCUGAUGUGAAAGCCCUCGGCUUAACCGAGGAAGCGCAUCGGAAACUGGGAAACUUGAGUGCAGAAGAGGACAGUGGAACUCCAUGUGUAGCGGUGGAAUGCGUAGAUAUAUGGAAGAACACCAGUGGCGAAGGCGGCUGUCUGGUCUGUAACUGACGCUGAGGCUCGAAAGCAUGGGUAGCGAACAGGAUUGGAUACCCUGGUAGUCCAUGCCGUAAACGAUGAAUGCUAGGUGUUUGAGGGUUUCCGCCCUUCAGUGCCGCAGCUAACGCAUUAAGCAUUCCGCCUGGGGAGUACGACCGCAAGGUUGAAACUCAAAGGAAUUGACGGGGGCCCGCACAAGCGGUGGAGCAUGUGGUUUAAUUCGAAGCAACGCGAAGAACCUUACCAGGUCUUGACAUCUUUUGAUCACCUGAGAGAUCAGGUUUCCCCUUCGGGGGCAAAAUGACAGGUGGUGCAUGGUUGUCGUCAGCUCGUGUCGUGAGAUGUUGGGUUAAGUCCCGCAACGAGCGCAACCCUUAUGACUAGUUGCCAGCAUUUAGUUGGGCACUCUAGUAAGACUGCCGGUGACAAACCGGAGGAAGGUGGGGAUGACGUCAAAUCAUCAUGCCCCUUAUGACCUGGGCUACACACGUGCUACAAUGGAUGGUACAACGAGUUGCGAGACCGCGAGGUCAAGCUAAUCUCUUAAAGCCAUUCUCAGUUCGGACUGUAGGCUGCAACUCGCCUACACGAAGUCGGAAUCGCUAGUAAUCGCGGAUCAGCACGCCGCGGUGAAUACGUUCCCGGGCCUUGUACACACCGCCCGUCACACCAUGAGAGUUUGUAACACCCGAAGCCGGUGGCGUAACCCUUUUAGGGAGCGAGCCGUCUAAGGUGGGACAAAUGAUUAGGGUG
RNAcentral lists this ribosomal RNA (1492 nucleotides) under Lacticaseibacillus paracasei. Its description in RNAcentral is "bacterial SSU rRNA". It matches the Rfam family "Bacterial small subunit ribosomal RNA". The record is from RNAcentral. Lineage: Bacteria; Bacillati; Bacillota; Bacilli; Lactobacillales; Lactobacillaceae.